Molecule: non-coding RNA, 1092 nt
Organism: Megalopta genalis
Lineage: Eukaryota; Metazoa; Arthropoda; Insecta; Hymenoptera; Halictidae
Source: RefSeq, a predicted model, not a curated record
GUACAGAUGAAUUUCUCAAUGUGACGCGGUUCCCUAUUACCCUUUACGGUGAUAAGGAUGAUAUAAUGAAUUGUCUUGUAUGGUAAUCACUAUAAAAUCUUUAUUUCUAACACUUAAUACUAAGCGGUACUGAUUGCUAGAUAAUCGUAGAGUGUGUUUGGUUUGAAAGUGGUUGAAAGACUGCCUGGGCUCGGGAUCCUUUUCCCGAAGUCAACUCGGUGUCCCCGUCCACCCUUCGUGCUUCCUUCUUUUUGAGUCGAGAGUGGGAACGGUUGUCCUGUCUGAUUGGUUUAAAAAAUAAUGGACAAGAUCGAGAGUUAGAAGGAGGAGGACGGCAGGGAAAGUGACCGCUCCGAAUAAUGGCCACAUGCAGGCACGGACCGUACCUAGGAGCGGCGCACAUGGGGGUUUCGCGCAUUUUAGACGUUGACCGUAGCAGGCAAUAAACCCCGGAAGUGCUUCGACUUGAAUGGUGUAUGCAGAGGAACAAUCUGAGGAUGCGGUGAUUGUCUAACAUCUGGUGCGCAACUGUUGGAUAUAACGAAACAAGGGAUGAAAUUUGAGUAAGGAACGGCUUUUCGGGAAACUGCCUGCUACGGGUGGUUUUUCGCCUGGGCCCAAGGACAGAUAGGACCGAUUGCCUGAUUUAUGUGUUUCUGCGCGGAACAUCCUCCCCCCCUUGAGAGGGAACCGAUCGAAGAGGAAUGAGUGUUUCUUAUGUAUAGUGACUAAUACUGAUGAAGCCAUGGUUGGAAAAUGAGGAAACGAUAAGGGAUUUGGUGAUGAAAUAAACGAGCCUACCUUUGCGGUGUGACGACCUUGAACCUACAGCUCCUUGUGGUCUGAGGUUGUACGUUGGAAUAACUGUUGUAGACGUGCCUCAGAAGAAGAUUGCUGAUGUCAUUCUGAGGGUGGCUGUUGAGUUUUCACCUAUUCACUGAUAUUAAAUCCGGCUCGAAGGACCAAUGUUUCCGCGUACAGAUGAAUUUCUCAAUGUGACGCGGUUCCCUAUUACCCUUUACGGUGAUAAGGAUGAUAUAAUGAAUUGUCUUGUAUGGUAAUCACUAUAAAAUCUUUAUUUCUAACACUUAA